RNAcentral lists this ribosomal RNA (506 nucleotides) under uncultured bacterium. RNAcentral's name for it is "partial 16S ribosomal RNA". It matches the Rfam family "Bacterial small subunit ribosomal RNA", at positions 29 to 523 of the family's 1533-position model. The record is from RNAcentral.
AUUGAACGCUGGCGGCAGGCCUAACACAUGCAAGUCGAACGGUAACAGGAAGCAGCUUGCUGCUUCGCUGACGAGUGGCGGACGGGUGAGUAAUGUCUGGGAAACUGCCUGAUGGAGGGGGAUAACUACUGGAAACGGUAGCUAAUACCGCAUAACGUCGCAAGACCAAAGAGGGGGACCUUCGGGCCUCUCGCCAUCGGAUGUGCCCAGAUGGGAUUAGCUAGUAGGUGGGGUAACGGCUCACCUAGGCGACGAUCCCUAGCUGGUCUGGGAGGGUGACCAGCCACACGGGAACUGAGACACGGUCCAGACUCCUACGGGAGGCAGCAGUGGGGAAUAUGGCACAAUGGGCGCAAGCCUGAUGCAGCCAUGCCGCGUGUAUGAAGAAGGCCUUCGGGUUGUAAAGUACUUUCAGCGGGGAGGAAGGCGGUGAAGUUAAUAACUUCACCGAUUGACGUUACCCGCAGAAGAAGCACCGGCUAACUCCGUGCCAGCAGCCGCCGUAA